UUCAACUAAAAUGAGAUAUAAAAAUAUUAUUAAUUUUAAAAAAUGAACUUAUUAUCACAUCAAUAACUCAUAUAUGCCUUUUCUUCUUCUUCGUUUGAAAUGAAACCACGACCCAUAAAUAGAUCUCCAUCUUCUUCGCUUAAAAUUGAAUUGACAAUGCAAAAGCAGAUCUCAAUCUUUUUGUUCGCUUGAAAUCGAAACAAAAAUC
RNAcentral lists this long non-coding RNA (208 nucleotides) under Lathyrus oleraceus (garden pea). RNAcentral describes it as "Pisum sativum (pea) long non-coding RNA (PSAT_LNC008642)". Lineage: Eukaryota; Viridiplantae; Streptophyta; Magnoliopsida; Fabales; Fabaceae. The record is from RNAcentral.